GAAAGAUACACCUAAGCUGACUAAGAAUGGAUACUGUGCAAAUCUUAAGACAGCACAGAGAUUCGAGAACUAUAGCAGAAUGAAAGGCUGGGGAUAGUCACUGCAGGCUCAGGACUCCUGGCCCUAGGCUAAGCCCCAUUCUAAUUCAAGUCAAAGGAACAGAAGAGAGUUCUCCUGCAGGGCACAGGAAGGAAGGUGGAAUUCUCCCUCCUACAAAGGAGAAGAUUUAUGUUUGAGUCACAGUGUAGUGGCAAGAACUACUCUUGUGUGUUGAUCUCACCUCUGACGCUACUUGGGUCUCUAUGUCAGGAGAGUCACUUCCAACGUUCCUCGCUCCACAGCUUCAUCUGUGUGAUGGGCAGGUGUGGCUAGACCAGCAUUUCCUAAACUAUGUUCCUUGGAACAUCUGAUUCUCUUCUGCACUAAUAGGUGGCCACUAGCCACAUGUGGCUGUUGAGCACUUGAAACAUGGCUAGGGCCACAUUUUAAACUGUAAAAACUAAAGCAGUAUACAGCGGAAAAAAAGCGUGAAGGAAGCCAUCUGCAAGCCAGGAAGACAAUCCUCACCAGAAACCAACCAUGCUGGCACCCUGAACUAAUGUAUGUACUAUGAAGGCAAAGACGUGGUUUGGGUCACUGCUAUAUCUCCAGCACAGGAACGCUGCCUGGUACACAAUACCCCAAUAAUGGCUUUCCUCUUGCUCCUUUCUGCUUCCUGACCAAACCUGGUGCUCCCCAUGUGGCCCUGCAUGACAUGGCCUGCCCACUCCUCUCAGGAAAUGUUGUUGAGGCGGCUGAUACGAAUACCUCGUGCUCUGACAACUCCAGGAAAGCUGGGCCUCCAGAGAUCUCAGGUGAAGAGAGGGCACCUAGACCACUGCAUGCUGCCAGAUAUUCUGGAGGGUUGGAGACUGGAGCUCCUGCAGGCUGAUUUCCUGACCACUCCAUCCUCUAAUCUUCAGGGGCAUCGAAGCUCCUAUGAAGACUCCACUGCCAGACCAAGUCACCUUAUAAGGAAGAUCCCCCAAGAAGGAACUAUGAGAUAGGAACUAACCUAUGGUGUAACAAAGUGAGACCAGCUGAAGUGACAGGUGGGCAUAUUUGGGGAGUAUCUACAACCCCCUUAUGCCACGAAGAGUUUCUCCAUACAAUAUUUUGGGUCUACACACGACAAUGCAUCUGCAAGGUACAAGUCAUCUUUCAAAAUCACAUUUAUCAUGGGGAGGCCGAGGCUUAAAGAUAUUAAGUGACUUGCACCAGAUCUCCCCAGCUAGCCAAGACCGGAACUCAGGACUGAGGAACUCCAAAGACCCUGUCCUCCAUCUAUGCAGUGUUACCUUCUCCCUAAGCCUCCCUUGCAGUUUAAUGUCACCAUGUCAAUGGAAUAUGAACAGAAAUGAUGUGUGCCGCUUUCAGACUUGGCCCAUAAAAUCCUCCGGUGCAUGCUCCUCUGUGUGUUAUCAUCUUCUCUCAGCUGGAUGCAAACGAUGGUGAGAUCCUAUGUUUUGGGGUGAAGCCACAGACGGAAGGGACCUGGGUCCUUGAAUGACUGUAUGGAAGAGAGCCUGCUUCCCUAACUGAACACCUACCAGGACUGUUAGACGAGCAAGAAAUAAAUUUCUACUGCAUGGUGGACUCUGUGAUCCACCACCUAGAUUCCAUUUCAGUGAAGGACUUGUUACCCCGGCUAAGGGAGUGCUGUCGGCAGAACCUUCAGUUCUCAGCCCCUUCAGGGACUGCCUCAGCUCUCAGAGAGUUGCCUCAUCCAAGGUCAUGCCCUUCCAGGGAAAGACCACAUCCAGAGACCAAGCAAUGUGAGAGCUCACGUCCAGCCACUGCAGUCCAACGCUUCUGUGGGGUUGACCAAGGUUGUCAUCACGCCUGAUUUGCAGCUCAACUUCUCUCUUCUCCAAUCCUGCUUCCUUUCUUUCUUUUCUACAGAUUUUCAAUCUAACAAUAAUAAACAUCCCGCACUCGAAGCUUUCCAAGUCUGCUUCUUGGAGAAGCCCCCCUGAGGCACAG
Equus caballus (horse) is the source of this 2022-nucleotide long non-coding RNA. The record is from Ensembl. NCBI's taxonomy places the organism in Eukaryota, Metazoa, Chordata, Mammalia, Perissodactyla, Equidae.